Molecule: ribosomal RNA, 250 nt
Filed under: uncultured bacterium
Lineage: Bacteria
Description: partial 16S ribosomal RNA
Rfam family: Bacterial small subunit ribosomal RNA
Source: RNAcentral
GGCAGAGGUGGCAAGCGUUGUUCGGAUUUACUGGGCGUAAAGGGUGCGUAGGUGGUUAGGUAAGACCUGUGGGAAAGACCUGGGCUUAACCCAGGAAGGUCGCAGGUGACUGCCUAGCUAGAGGGCGGGAGAGGGGCGCGGAAUUCCCGGUGUAGCGGUGAAAUGCGUAGAGAUCGGGAGGAAGGCCGGUGGCGAAGGCGGCGCUCUGGAACGUUCCUGACACUGAGGCACGAAAGCGUGGGGAGCAAAC